GCCUGGGUGGCUCAGUCGGUUGAGCAUCUGACUUUGGCUCAGGUCUUGAUCUCGUUGUUCGUGGGUUCAAGCCCCAUGUCGAGCU
Molecule: transfer RNA, 85 nt
Organism: Felis catus (domestic cat)
Lineage: Eukaryota; Metazoa; Chordata; Mammalia; Carnivora; Felidae
Rfam family: tRNA
About the family: Transfer RNA (tRNA) molecules are approximately 80 nucleotides in length. Their secondary structure includes four short double-helical elements and three loops (D, anti-codon, and T loops).
Source: Rfam